RNAcentral lists this long non-coding RNA (385 nucleotides) under Androctonus crassicauda. Lineage: Eukaryota; Metazoa; Arthropoda; Arachnida; Scorpiones; Buthidae. The record is from RNAcentral.
AUGAAAUCGAUUUCACCUGACACUAUCAAACACGCGUUCCGAACAUGCGGAAUUUCGGAAAAUGGAGAGGUGGUUCUGAUGGAAGACUUAAACUACCGUCUGAGAGGGAUCCUGGCAGGCACCGGUACAAUUCAAGAAACUGAGGAUACGGUUGCUGAAAGAAGUGAUAAGUCUGAUGAAAGUAUUGAGACUGAAGUUCCAGUUACUGACAGUUAGUCUUGUGACAGUGAUCAAUCUGAAGGAAGUACCUGUAGUGAAGAGAUGUGAAAGAUAAGGACUGAUACCAGUAAUACGAAACUUGGAUCUACCGAUAAAGUGCCAUAUACGGUAGAUAAGAUGUGAAAAUUACUGUUUGUGUUCCAAAUGUACAAUACUAUUUAUGUUG